UCGGGGAUGAAGUCCGGCUCCCGUAGGAGUCCGGACGAAGUCUUCCUACAGUCAGAGUCGGGGAUGAAGUCCGGCUCCCGUAGGAGUCCGGACGAAGUCUUCCUGCAGUCGGAGUCGGGGACGAAGUCUGGGUCCCGUAGGAGUCCGGACGAAGUCUUCCUGUAGUCGGAGUCGGGGAUGAAGUCCGGCUCCCGUAGGAGUCUGGACGAAGUCUUCC
This 217-nucleotide long non-coding RNA is filed under the name Elaeis guineensis (African oil palm). RNAcentral describes it as "long non-coding RNA (EGUI_LNC059269)". The record is from RNAcentral. Lineage: Eukaryota; Viridiplantae; Streptophyta; Magnoliopsida; Arecales; Arecaceae.